This 285-nucleotide long non-coding RNA is filed under the name Capsella rubella. RNAcentral's name for it is "long non-coding RNA (CRUB_LNC004793)". Lineage: Eukaryota; Viridiplantae; Streptophyta; Magnoliopsida; Brassicales; Brassicaceae. The record is from RNAcentral.
AUUAAGUUAUUUAUAAGUACAAAUUUAGGGAGUUUAAUUAGAAUAGAAAAAUAGUAAAGAUUGGGGAAGAACAUGAGACUAGUGCCCCAGUUAUAAUUUUAAAUCUUAGGCAUGGUUAGGGAAAAUAAGGCCAAAAGAAAAAAAAAAUAGAAUUACAACGACAAGAGUGGUAUGGUAUGCGUGUAAAGGAACUUUUAACAAUGGACACUCGCAGUCGCAGAGACCACUGCAUGCAAUUAUGCCUUUCAGCAAUUUUUAUUACUUUUAAGGCUCACUUUUUCCCGC